CACAAACAUCUGUGUGUAAGCUGAAAGCUACCUGCAGUGAAGUGCACAAACACGUUCCUGGUCAAACGGGCUGCAAGAUUCUACCAUGAGAAAACUGAAGUCCAGAGCGUUUAAAGAACUUGCCUGAGUGGCAGAGUAGGAAGUAGAACUUCGGUCUCUUGCUAAUCAGCUCAUUUCUUUACCCGUAUCACCAAACCAAGAUGGACAACGUGGCUUCAAAAAUUUUUUAAAGGGUGCUUGUGUGUGUGAGACGUUUGUGGAUGGGGGCUUUCCCAGGCUGGUCAGAUUUACCAUCUCAUCUGCUGAUCUCCAAAUGGAAGAUGAGCAGCGCCCGCCACACCCACCAAUGAUCAGAUUCCAGUUGGAGGGCCUGAGUGACUUCUUCCUCUUCCUCCCUGAGAAGAUUGUUUCCAGGAGCAGCUGUAGGACUGAUAGAGAGAACUAAUCAAGGAGCAUGGUUUGUUCAUUAUGAGGGCAAGGCUGGGCACAUUCCUAGCGUCCCUGCUGCUGGCUGCAUCCGGCGGGUCCCUGGGUUUUGACUUGAGCUCUCUGCACAUUCACCAGCCCUAUCUCUUCCUGUGCCCACACCGCACCCCACCCCCCCCAGUCCCUCCAUCAGCUCUCUGCCUUCCAAAGCCUUAGUGUGGGUUCCUUCACCAACAGCUUCACCCUUACCAGGUGCUCCCUUCUCCUCCCCCUGCAAAACCUCCAUUUUCUUAACGAUAACUGGCCAAGUGAACACUUAAAAAAAUAGCUUGUUAUUGUAAUUUAUCACUCUCCCAGGAAAACUCAAAUUGUUUUAACUGGUAAUAUUGCAAAUAGACUGUCUCAGUAAACUGGAGCAUUCCUGGCU
This 853-nucleotide long non-coding RNA is filed under the name Equus caballus (horse). Its description in RNAcentral is "lncRNA (ENSECAG00000048654.1)". The record is from RNAcentral. Lineage: Eukaryota; Metazoa; Chordata; Mammalia; Perissodactyla; Equidae.